This 520-nucleotide ribosomal RNA is filed under the name uncultured archaeon. RNAcentral's name for it is "bacterial SSU rRNA". It matches the Rfam family "Archaeal small subunit ribosomal RNA", at positions 402 to 922 of the family's 1478-position model. The record is from RNAcentral.
GAAGGCUUUUACCCAGUCUAGAACGCUGGGGGAAUAAGGAGAGGGCAAGUCUGGUGUCAGCCGCCGCGGUAAUACCAGCUCUCCGAGUGGUGUGGAUGUUUAUUGGGCCUAAAGCAUCCGUAGCUGGCUAAGUUAGUCCCCUGUUAAAUCCAACGAAUUAAUCGUUGGAUCGCGGGGGAUACUGCUUGGCUAGGGGACGAGAGAGGCAGACGGUAUUUCCGGGGUAGGGGUGAAAUCCUAUAAUCCCGGGAAGACCACCAGUGGCGAAGGCUGUCUGCUAGAACGCGCCCGACGGUGAGGGAUGAAAGCUGGGGGAGCGAACCGGAUUAGAUACCCGGGUAGUCCCAGCUGUAAACGAUGCAGGCUAGGUGUUUGGACGGCCACGUGCCGUUCUAGUGCCGCAGGGAAGCUGUUAAGCCUGCCGCCUGGGGAGUACGAUCGCAAGAUUGAAACUUAAAGGAAUUGGCGGGGGAGCACCACAAGGGGUGAAGCUUGCGGUUUAAUUGGAGUCAACGCCGGA